This 92-nucleotide microRNA precursor is filed under the name Alligator mississippiensis (American alligator). Its description in RNAcentral is "microRNA ami-mir-30b precursor". Its record names the gene ami-mir-30b. The stretch from base 9 to 82 matches the Rfam family "mir-30 microRNA precursor family". From Rfam's summary of the family: This family consists of the mammalian microRNA (miRNA) precursor mir-30a. Animal miRNAs are transcribed as ~70nt precursors and subsequently processed by the Dicer enzyme to give a ~22nt product. Lineage: Eukaryota; Metazoa; Chordata; Crocodylia; Alligatoridae. The record is from miRBase by way of RNAcentral.
ACUGACUUUUAGUUCAUGUAAACAUCCUACACUCAGCUAUAACAACUGGAACGGCUGGGAGGUGGAUGUUUACUUCAACUGAUUUGAAAAGG